UGUCUUGUAAUUGGAAUGAUGGUGACUUAAACCCUCACCAGAGUACCAAUUGGAGGGCAAGUCUGGUGCCAGCAGCCGCGGUAAUUCCAGCUCCAAUAGCGUAUAUUAAACUUGUUGCAGUUAAAAAGCUCGUAGUUGAAUUUCAGCGUUUCGCGUGUGCCUCUUUUGGCCCAUCUCGUCUCGCUUUUUUUAUUACUUUGAGAAAAUUAGAGUGUUUCAAGCAGGCUUUUGUCUUGAAUACUUGAGCAUGGAAUAAUAGAGUAGGACCUUGGUUCUAUUUUGUUGGUUUUGUUACCUUGGUAAUGGUUAAUAGGAACGGUUGGGGGCAUUCGUAUUUAACUGUCAGAGGUGAAAUUCUUAGAUUUGUUAAAGACGAACUACUGCGAAAGCAUUUGCCAAGGACGUUUCCAUUAAUCAAGAACGAAAGUUAGGGGAUCGAAGACGAUCAGAUACCGUCGUAGUCCUAACCAUAAACUA
Molecule: ribosomal RNA, 477 nt
Filed under: Babesia occultans
Lineage: Eukaryota; Apicomplexa; Aconoidasida; Piroplasmida; Babesiidae
Description: SSU rRNA
Rfam family: Eukaryotic small subunit ribosomal RNA
Source: RNAcentral